RNAcentral lists this ribosomal RNA (452 nucleotides) under uncultured Alphaproteobacteria bacterium. RNAcentral's name for it is "partial 16S ribosomal RNA". It matches the Rfam family "Bacterial small subunit ribosomal RNA", at positions 521 to 979 of the family's 1533-position model. Lineage: Bacteria; Pseudomonadati; Pseudomonadota; Alphaproteobacteria. The record is from RNAcentral.
UAAGACGAAGGGGGCGAGCGUUAUCCGGAAUGACUGGGCGUAAAGGGUCCGUAGGCAGCAUUUUUUGUUAAUUGUGAAAGAAAAAAGCCCAACUUUUUUUAGCUUUUAAUACAUUAAUGCUUAGAGUUUGAGAGGGGAUAGCAGAGUUUCACAUGGAGGGGUGAUAUCCGUAGAUAUGUGAAGGAAUACCAGAGGCGAAGGCGGCUAUCUAGCUCAAUACUGACGUUGAGGGACGAAAGCAUGGGGAGCAAACAGGAUUAGAUACCCUGGUAGUCCAUGCCCUAAAAGAUGAGUGCUCGUGCUUAGAGAUUUUUAGGCACUUAGUUAACACGUUAAGCACUCCGCCUGGGGAGUACGACCGCAAGGUUGGAACUCAAAGGAAUUGACGGGGGCCUAUACAAGUGGUGGAGCAUGUGGUUUAAUGCGACAAUACGCGCGAAACCUUACCAGUU